Molecule: ribosomal RNA, 1668 nt
Filed under: human gut metagenome
Description: bacterial LSU rRNA
Rfam family: Bacterial large subunit ribosomal RNA
Source: RNAcentral
AGAGGACUGCUGGAGAUAUCAGAAGUGCGAAUGCUGACAUGAGUAACGUUAAAGCGGGUGAAAAGCCCGCUCGCCGUAAGCCCAAGGUUUCCUGCUCUACGUUCAUCGGAGCAGGGUGAGUCGGCCCCUAAGGCCAGGCUGAGAAGCGUCGUCGAUGGGAAUCAGAUUAAUAUUUCUGAACCAUGUGCGGAUGCGAUGGGGGGACGGAGUGUUGAAGAUCAUCCGGGUGUUGGAUGUCCCGGUUUGUGAGGGUAGAAGGCCGGCAGGCAAAUCCGCCGGCAAAUCUUCGAGCCGAAGCAUCGGGCCGUCGUGAGACGGUGAAGUGAUCGGAUGGACUUCCAGGAAAAGCCUCUAAGCUUCAGUCCGCAUGUGACCGUACCGUAAACCGACACUGGUGGGCGAGUUGAAUAUACUCAGGCGCUUGAGAGAACUCGGGAGAAGGAACUCGGCAAAUUGACACCGUAACUUCGGGAGAAGGUGUGCCUUUGUAGCGUGAAGGAAGAAACAUCCGGAGCGUGAAGAGGUCUCAGAAAAUAGGUGGCUGCAACUGUUUAUUAAAAACACAGCACUCUGCAAAGACGAAAGUCGACGUAUAGGGUGUGAUGCCUGCCCGGUGCUGGAAGAUUAAUUGAUGGGGUGAGAGCCCUUGAUCGAAGUCCCAGUAAACGGCGGCCGUAACUAUAACGGUCCUAAGGUAGCGAAAUUCCUUGUCGGGUAAGUUCCGACCUGCACGAAUGGCAUAACGAUGGCCACACUGUCUCCUCCCGAGACUCAGUGAAGUUGAAAUGUUUGUGAUGAUGCAAUCUCCCCGCGGCUAGACGGAAAGACCCCAUGAACCUUUACUGCAGCUUUGCAUUGAACUGUGAACCGAUUUGUGUAGGAUAGGUGGGAGGCAGAGAAGAGGCCACGCCAGUGGCCUUGGAGCCGACCUUGAAAUACCACCCUGAUUUGUUUGCGGUUCUAACCACGGACAGUGAUCCUGUCUUGGGACCGUGCAUGGUAGGCAGUUUGACUGGGGCGGUCUCCUCCUAAAGGGUAACGGAGGAGUACGAAGGUACGCUAGGUACGGUCGGAAAUCGUGCUGAUAGUGCAAUGGCAAAAGCGUGCUUGACUGCGAGAGCAACAACUCGAGCAGAUGCGAAAGCAGGUCAUAGUGAUCCGGUGGCUCUGAAUGGAAGGGCCAUCGCUCAACGGAUAAAAGGUACUCUGGGGAUAACAGGCUGAUACCGCCCAAGAGUUCAUAUCGACGGCGGUGUUUGGCACCUCGAUGUCGGCUCAUCUCAUCCUGGGGCUGUAGUCGGUCCCAAGGGUAUGGCUGUUCGCCAUUUAAAGAGGUACGUGAGCUGGGUUUAAAACGUCGUGAGACAGUUUGGUCCCUAUCUGCCGUGGGCGUUGGAAGAUUGACGGGGGCUGCUCCUAGUACGAGAGGACCGGAGUGGACGCACCUCUGGUGUACCGGUUGUCACGCCAGUGGCAUUGCCGGGUAGCUAAGUGCGGAAGAGAUAACCGCUGAAAGCAUCUAAGCGGGAAACUUGCCUGAAGAUGAGUCUUCCCGGAGGUUGAACCUCCCUCAAGAGUCGUCCGAGACCAGGACGUCGAUAGGUCAGGUGUGUAAGCGCUGUAAGGCGUUGAGCUAACUGAUACUAAUUGCUCGUGAGGCUUGAUCCU